This 73-nucleotide transfer RNA is filed under the name Loxodonta africana (African savanna elephant). It matches the Rfam family "tRNA". Rfam says of the family: Transfer RNA (tRNA) molecules are approximately 80 nucleotides in length. Their secondary structure includes four short double-helical elements and three loops (D, anti-codon, and T loops). The record is from Rfam by way of RNAcentral. Lineage: Eukaryota; Metazoa; Chordata; Mammalia; Proboscidea; Elephantidae.
GCAGUGGUGGUUCAGUGGUAGAAAUCUUGCCUUCCAUGCAUGGGGUACCCAGGUUUGAUUCCUGGCCAAAGUA